UGUUAAGCUGAAUCACCACCCAUGAGGGAAGCCAAUACUGUGAAGGAGGACACCAGGAGCCUUGGAGGAGAUGCUCUGUUUUGAAUGACAAUUGGUACCAUACUGAUCUACUCCUCUUCUCCACAUAUUCCUAUGAAACCAAUGCAUCCCAAGAUUCUCUGGCAAACACAACUCAUGUCUGUCAUUUUGUUGCAAAACUCCAGCAGUGAUUUAUUCCAGGGCUGUCAAAUAUUCAUGUACCCAGAGGAAACACCAGUGUUGGUUUCUUUGCUUCUUCUGAGUUCCCCGUAGACAGCAGUUAUUUUGAUACAGUUCAUUCUUACAUAAAAUCUUUGUUCCUUAUUUCUUUUGUUAAAUUCUUGAGUAAACAAUAUCAGCUUCUCAAACUUUAGAAGGUUGUCAACGUUGUCUCAUCCGCAAAUGUGCAGGAAAUUUUGCUCCUGGUGCUGGGAUUUGAGCAAAUAUUCCUGGUAAAGCUUCCCAGAAUUAUCCUCAACAGCAUGGAGGAGACCAAAAAAGAUCCCUGUGGCCAUUAUUAGUUUACUAUAGCUUGAUCUUGUUACAAAUGCAGGCCAUUCUUUAAGCCUUUGUUCUGCUGUUUUGUCCAGUGCUCACAUGUGCAUCUUGAUUCAUCUGUUACUCAUGCCAAUCUUAAAUUUUGUACAAAUCAAAGCAGUUCCAGGUAGACUUGUUAGAAAUAAUUCUAUCAUAUUUCUCUAUGUUUCUGUUGGUCCUGGAUGCCUCCAACAUUAGAUAACCAUAAAGUGCCAUUUGAUAUCUUAAAUUCCUGAUACGAGGUGCCAUUGCACAAGCACAAAAAUUAUGCUUUCAGCAGUUUGCUUUAAUGAUAGGAUUAGUUUAAUCAAGUAAAUCUGGGGUGACUUGCUUUAUUCAUAGGUUUUUCUUUUGUGAUGCUGUGUCAUCCUUAUCCAUGUGAAUGUUUCUGGAUCUGGAUUGUAAAUUAAUCUCUUGCUGACUUUUAAAUUGGAAUACGAGCAGCUCAUUCAUCUCACUGAGAAUGCAGAAAUGUAUGAGAUACGUGUCUCUGUGCCCAUAGUGGCAGCUCUCUAGUGACAAAUGCUGACCAGUAGCGGAGUCAGGAGUCAUGUGCAUGAACCUAGCGUAUGUGCCCAAUCUUUGCACACAGGGGAUGGAAUCACCAAGACUUCCACAAUCCUUAUGUCCCCAUUCCACACUGGGGUUCAGUUUCCUUUUUGCAGUUACAUAUAAUAGAAUUUACUUGAACUAAGAAUUGUCAGGUAUUUUUAAGGUUUGCAGAAGUUUCUGGAGGGUUUUAUGUCUGUUUUCCUUUUAAAAGGAAAGGAUUUCCCUGCAGCUGUGGAGCCCAUGAGCUCAAGGAAGGUCACAAUUUGUCAGGCAAAGACUGAUCUUACAGUACAGUCAGAUGAAAAAAAAAAAACCACCAGAAUUCUUUGUAAAGGGAAUGUUCUUGAAUUGAUCUCAGAAGGAAAACAUCCACAUUGAUUGCUUUCUCUACAAGGAGCUUCAAAAUUGUUUAGUUCCCCACUGCUUUCCAUUAGUCACAGUUCCCAUGCAAGGCAACUCAGUGUCACAGCACCCGUCCUACAGCGCACUGGCUUCCUACUAGCACUUCGGGUUGUUUUGAGUUACAAUAAAAGUGAUAGAAAUGAUUCUUGUAAAUGUGAAGAUGCUUUACAUAGGGAAUGACGCCGAGUGAUGUAGUUGGAUGUGCACAGCUUUACUUGUUGAAUACAUCUGCAGAAAUUCAGCUGCCUUCUGCAAAACAGAGGCUCUGGGCUGUUCUGGAGGGUAUGCCUGGCCAUGCACUCAGCAAGGAAUAGAGCCAUGGGUGGGCAAGAGAGGCUCUUUUGGACAUUGCUACCCCUUCUACAUGCUAGGAGCAGAAUUUGUCUUCAGAGACUGAACAAAGAGAAAAGGGACUCUCCUCUUUCUGCACAUUCUUCUGAAGCGGCUGCUACUGACAAAGCAACAAGAUGCAGGACUCUGGGAGCGUGGACCAGCAGCUCCUGUACAGCACAUUUCUGCCAGUGCCCCUGUCAGAGCUCCUUCCUGAGAUGCAAGGGAAGACAGUGGUACAGCAAGUAGGCAGCAUUUUCCUAGCAAUAUUAUAUCAUUUGUCUUCUUCAGUUACAUCAGUGUUUCUGUGAGGAAACAACAAAGUGUUUCCUUCCACCAAAGAAUGAAAGGGGACUCAAAUAAAAUAGGGAAAGUAACGCUUUUAUUACCAAAGUAUCUGUGGAACAAAGCGCUUCCUUUUUCCUAUUUAUUUCUAAUCAUACUCAUGCUAACUGUUACAUCCAUUUUCAGCAUCUGUCUGUGUGAAAGAAACUUGGGGAGAAAUUACCUCAAUAAUGUCUUUUUAAUCUUCCUUGUUUACAGCACACUUUUUGUUCAAAGUCAUUAUGACAGUCAUGGAAGAUUCUGAGUGUGAUGCAGUUAUUGAAUUUUAAAUGAAAACUAAAUUGGCUGUGGUAGAGGGGAAAAAUAUUUCAUAACACAGUAAUUUUUCCUCAGGGUACAGUUUCUACAUUUUAUUAGAAAUAAGCAAUUUUCACUGUGUCUCCAAAAUGUAUAUAGCAGAUAAACGUGAGAGAUUAAUCUAAGGAAAAAAGGCUUUUACAAGUAUUUAACACCAAGUGGUGGUUUAAAGUUUGCUUGUUUUCUACAUUUUUUUCCUGCUGUGCUGGAGAAGCUAUUUACUGAUUUUGCUGAAGUAAAACGUAUCUUAGCUUUCUGCAUUGGUCAAAAGCCUCCCAUGGUGUCACUUAGGUGGGUUUUAAUUGAUCCGUUUGAGGCAUUUUUCUGCUUUAUUUGUGCAUAUAUGAAGGAAGGAACAUCACCUAUACGUGAAAGGUACUGAGGUGCCCAUGUGGCUGCUGUACAAUGCAUUCUGCUGACUGGGCAGUGCUCAGCCCCUGUAGCCAUCUCCAGGCAUCUCCCACCUCUCUGUCCCUACAGCCCCCCAAGGGAAAGAACACCAUGAAGUUGCCUCUGGGUGGUUCUGCUAGCAAGGUGAAGGGGAGGCAUUGGAGAAGAUAAAUAUUGGGAUAAAAUGAAUGCACCUUCAUCCCAGUGUUGCAGUCAGCUGGCAGGCAUUAAUUUCAUGGAAUAGCUCUGUCAUCUGGCUGAUCUCCACAGGGAAUAGCAGUCACGCACAGCCCAGUUUGGAGGCUGCUGGGAGGGAGCUUGAAGCAGCCCCCUGAGCCCUGGCCAUGGGGGCACCUCGCUGGCAGGGCCUCUGGAGAGCACAUUUCUGCAGCUGCUCAAGCUGCUUCAGCAGCAUAAUUCAGCCAUUCCUUUCUAAGCAAGCAGCACUGAUGGGCUGGUUUUACGUUCAUUAGAUUUGCUUCAUUCCUUCAGCAGCUCUCAAGCUCCAGUUAGGCUGCAAACGAGAGGAAUAUUCAAAUCAGUGUUUAGUGAAUUUUCAUUAACCAGUAUUAGCUCUCGUUCAGCUUCAGCUCCAAUUACAGUUUGUCAAAAUGGAAGUAGAUAUGAAUUAAUUGUAGCAGAGAAAGUGGUGCGUUUGAUGUAUUUGCAAAGUAUACAAAUUACUAUGGAAAAUGCAUCCACACAUGGUUAGUGGAGUCUGCGGGGUUAUG
This is a long non-coding RNA of Pezoporus occidentalis (night parrot), 3602 nucleotides long. RefSeq lists it as uncharacterized. Lineage: Eukaryota; Metazoa; Chordata; Aves; Psittaciformes; Psittacidae. The transcript is spliced from 3 exons. The record is from RefSeq and is a predicted model, not a curated record.